This 110-nucleotide ribosomal RNA is filed under the name Caerostris darwini. The record is from RNAcentral. Lineage: Eukaryota; Metazoa; Arthropoda; Arachnida; Araneae; Araneidae.
UGGCCAUACCAUGCUGAAUAUACCGGUUCUCGUUAGAUCACCGAAGUCAAGCAUCAUUGGGCGCGGUCAGUACUUGGGUGGGUGACCACCUGGGAACACCGCGUGCCGUU